UUUCCCAAACAUCCCAAUGUUGUUGGUUUUAUUGGAGCCGUUACUAAGAAUCCUCUGGAAGGUAAAUUUACACACACAAUAUGUUUUCGCAAAGCAAUCGAAUAAUUGGUUUUCCGCAGGCGAAAUAAUGAUCGUUUAUGAUUACUGCCGAUAUGGUGAUCUCAGGAGUUUCUUAAAGAAAAAUAAACAAACUCAAAGCGCAUGUCAAGAAGCGAAUACAGCACCGGGCUAUGGUAGAAAAAUGAAAGAAGGAACGUUUUGUGUGUUUUGGUAGAAUUUCUUCUAAAUUUGGCUUCUUUUGCGUAGAAAAUACUCCUGACACAUCCUUCAUUUCAUCUCUAACACCCAGUUUCCCAUACACAACAACGGAUCUGCUUGACUGGUCCAUCCAAGUGGCAAGAGGAUUGAAAUUUUUGACUUCGAAUGACCCUCCCAUCAUACACCGUGAUCUAGCGGCUAGAAACAUAUUGCUUUGUGAAGAAAAAACGGUCAAAAUUGGUGAUUUUGGUCUGUCACGGAAAUUGAACGGAAUGGACUAUUAUACAAAAGAAUCAUGGGCUCCAGAUCCAAUUCCAUGGAUGGCCAUUGAAACACAUCCAGAUGAAAGAGAACUGAAAUUCAGUGUAAAAUCGGAUGUUUGGUCGUUUGGUGUCGUGCUUUGGGAGUUAUUUUCAGAAGGAGAUGGUCCAUAAUACAUCUCAAAAGAAGACUUAUCAGAUGACAUCCGACUAGAAAAACCAGAAAAUGCUACGGAAGAAAUGUAUGACCUUAUGAUGUCUUGUUGGGAGGAAAGUCCAGAAAAUCGUCCAACAUUUGACGAGUUAGAAAAAAGGCUUUCGAAAAUGUGAUCGGAUGCACUAAAUGGUAAAAAUAAUGAUGGCGUAGAUGAUAAAGAUAGAUAUAACGAAUCCUCAAUAGCAGUCGAAAUAGAUGAAGUAAGCGAUGCAACGGAGGAAAGCAGUUCCGAUUCGAGUGAUGAUUCGCAUUCGCAAUCUGCACAUUAUAGCUUAUCGUUACCAAGUACUAAUGAAGAAAUACAAUCGAAUUUAUGUUCAAAUAACGUAGAAAUGAAAAUGUUCAAAUACAACAUUUUAACUGAAAGUCCUUUAACAUCAAUAAAUGUUGAUGUUUCGAA
Sitodiplosis mosellana (orange wheat blossom midge) is the source of this 1135-nucleotide long non-coding RNA. RefSeq lists it as uncharacterized. The transcript is spliced from 3 exons. The record is from RefSeq and is a predicted model, not a curated record. NCBI's taxonomy places the organism in Eukaryota, Metazoa, Arthropoda, Insecta, Diptera, Cecidomyiidae.